This 486-nucleotide ribosomal RNA is filed under the name uncultured bacterium. RNAcentral describes it as "partial 16S ribosomal RNA". It matches the Rfam family "Bacterial small subunit ribosomal RNA", at positions 30 to 507 of the family's 1533-position model. The record is from RNAcentral.
AUUGAACGCUGGCGGCAUGCCUUACACAUGCAAGUCGAACGGCAGCACGGGUGCUUGCACCUGGUGGCGAGUGGCGAACGGGUGAGUAAUACAUCGGAACAUGUCCUGUAGUGGGGGAUAGCCCGGCGAAAGCCGGAUUAAUACUGCAUACGAUCUACGGAUGAAAGCGGGGGACCUUCGGGCCUCGCGCUAUCGGGUUGGCCGAUGGCUGAUUAGCUAGUUGGUGGGGUAAAGGCCUACCAAGGCGACGAUCAGUAGCUGGUCUGAGAGGACGACCAGCCACACUGGGACUGAGACACGGCCCAGACUCCUACGGGAGGCAGCAGUGGGGAAUUUUGGACAAUGGGCGAAAGCCUGAUCCAGCAAUGCCGCGUGUGUGAAGAAGGCCUUCGGGUUGUAAAGCACUUUUGUCCGGAAAGAAAUCCUUGGCCCUAAUACGGUCGGGGGAUGACGGUACCGGAAGAAUAAGCACCGGCUAACUACGUG